Vidua chalybeata is the source of this 402-nucleotide long non-coding RNA. RefSeq lists it as uncharacterized. The transcript has 3 exons. NCBI's taxonomy places the organism in Eukaryota, Metazoa, Chordata, Aves, Passeriformes, Viduidae. The record is from RefSeq and is a predicted model, not a curated record.
UCAGAGCUGUCUGGAGCAGAAAAAGAUUCAAGCGGGCAUAAGAAAGCAACAAAAGUUAAUGAUUCAGAGAUAGAAUACUAUGUUUUAAUCUACAGGGUGUGUGACAAAUCCAAGAAAUUAGAAGUUAAAAGGAUACAUGACUAAGUGAAUUCAUAUCAUGGACAAGGAUACACAUCUUCAAAGUCUCCUGGAAACCUCAGCAUACUCUGACCUUCAGCUGGGUCUACAGCUCCUCACAAAAUAUCCAGAUCAGGACCUCUCUGCCAGAUCAGCAUAUGGGCAUAGUGGGACACUUCCGCAUGGAGAUGCCAGGACUGGAGAUUAUAUCUGCACACUGAAAUCUGGAGUGAAAUCAUUACAGUGAUUCAGAAGAUGUCUUUUGCACAAGUAUUAAAUGGAAAC